CUAUUACUCCCUCCGUUCGGAAUUAUUUAUCGUAAAAAUGGAUGUAUCUCGAUGUAUUUUAGUUCUAGAUACAUCCAUAUCCGAGACAACUAAUUCUGAACGGAGGGAGUACAUC
This is a non-coding RNA of Triticum aestivum (bread wheat), 115 nucleotides long. The record is from Rfam. NCBI's taxonomy places the organism in Eukaryota, Viridiplantae, Streptophyta, Magnoliopsida, Poales, Poaceae.